UAUCUAUUUAUUAUUGACUAAUUAAAAUAGAUUUAAUUUUUCUGCUCUGAGAUAAUAUAAGAUCAGAAGACUAAUAAGUUGAAUAAUGUGAACCCAAUUAGUUGAGUAGGGUUGAGAUCCACAAUAGACUUAACGGCAAGAGACUCAAUAUAUAAUAGAUCUAACUUUCAAGUGGAUUGAGUCAGAUUAAAACCCCAGAGCAUUGUGGCUGAGCCCUUAACUAUAAUGAAUGUUUCCUUUCUAUCAGCAUCUGCUUUUGGAAUAGUUAGUU
RNAcentral lists this long non-coding RNA (271 nucleotides) under Ananas comosus (pineapple). RNAcentral's name for it is "long non-coding RNA (ACOM_LNC040850)". The record is from RNAcentral. Lineage: Eukaryota; Viridiplantae; Streptophyta; Magnoliopsida; Poales; Bromeliaceae.